This 496-nucleotide ribosomal RNA is filed under the name uncultured bacterium. Its description in RNAcentral is "bacterial SSU rRNA". It matches the Rfam family "Bacterial small subunit ribosomal RNA", at positions 30 to 524 of the family's 1533-position model. The record is from RNAcentral.
AUUGAACGCUGGCGGCAUGCCUUACACAUGCAAGUCGAACGGCAGCACGGACUUCGGUCUGGUGGCGAGUGGCGAACGGGUGAGUAAUGUAUCGGAACGUACCUUUCAGUGGGGGAUAACGUAGCGAAAGUUACGCUAAUACCGCAUAUUCUGUGAGCAGGAAAGCAGGGGAUCGCAAGACCUUGCGCUGAUUGAGCGGCCGAUAUCAGAUUAGCUAGUUGGUGGGUAAAGGCCUACCAAGGCGACGAUCUGUAGCGGGUCUGAGAGGAUGAUCCGCCACACUGGAACUGAGACACGGUCCAGACUCCUACGGGAGGCAGCAGUGGGGAAUAUUGGACAAUGGGCGCAAGCCUGAUCCAGCCAUCCCGCGUGAAGGAUUAAGGCCCUCUGGGUUGUAAACUUCUUUUCUCUGGGAAUAAAAGUAGGGGUUCUCCCGUACCUUGAAGGUACCAGAGGAAUAAGCACCGGCUAACUCCGUGCCAGCAGCCGCGGUAAU